RNAcentral lists this ribosomal RNA (380 nucleotides) under uncultured bacterium. Its description in RNAcentral is "bacterial SSU rRNA". It matches the Rfam family "Bacterial small subunit ribosomal RNA", at positions 28 to 402 of the family's 1533-position model. The record is from RNAcentral.
GACGAACGCUGGCGGCGUGCCUCAGACAUGCAAGUCGUACGAUUAAAGCUCUCUUCGGAGAGUGUAUAGAGUGGCGCACGGGUGAGUAACACGUAAGUAAUCUACCUUCGAGUGGGGAAUAACAGUCGGAAACGACUGCUAAUACCGCAUAAUGCAGCGGCACCUAAUGGUGACAGUUGUUAAAGCAUUUAUGUGCUUGAAGAGGAGCUUGCGGCAGAUUAGCUAGUUGGUAAGGUAAUGGCUUACCAAGGCGACGAUCUGUAGCCGACCUGAGAGGGUGGUCGGUCACACUGACACUGAAUAACGGGUCAGACUCCUACGGGAGGCAGCAGUCGGGAAUUUUGGGCAAUGGGCGAAAGCCUGACCCAGCAACGCCGCGU